Molecule: long non-coding RNA, 404 nt
Organism: Dunckerocampus dactyliophorus (ringed pipefish)
Lineage: Eukaryota; Metazoa; Chordata; Actinopteri; Syngnathiformes; Syngnathidae
Exons: 3
Source: RefSeq, a predicted model, not a curated record
ACGCAUUAUAAUAUAUUUCUUCAUCACUUUAUAGCCAAAAGCGGGGUUAAUUUAAUUUUGUAUUGUUUGAUAUAUAUAUUUAUAUGAUAUACUUGAUGUACAGGUCUCCAGAAAUAGCGUAGAGUUUAGAUUGAACUCGUAUAGAGAGACGAUUCAACACGUAGCCAACAGUGUCAAAACUGGCCCACUUUCCACCUAAAUAGUUCCUGGACUUAGACAUCCACCUGCUGUGCACUGCUGAUGCCGCACUUUCUAAUUCCAGAUUGAUUGGAAUUGGCUGCAAGAAGAAAAAAACGGAUUUUGAUGAGCAGACUUCUCUUUGGAUGACCUUUGCCGACUCUUUACGAAACAAGGCUGCAGCGCACCAGGAGACACCAGGGUGUCUUGCUGGAGGACAUUUCCAC